UCGAAUGUGGUGUAUGGUGCACAUCAACCUCUCAAAGCUUCAUGUGUGGUGCCCGAAGAAUAGGCUGCUGGAGACCAGGGUUCGACUCCCUGCAUCUGAA
Molecule: non-coding RNA, 100 nt
Organism: Mycena rebaudengoi
Lineage: Eukaryota; Fungi; Basidiomycota; Agaricomycetes; Agaricales; Mycenaceae
Source: the annotation of a GenBank genome assembly